CCAAUAGCGUAUAUUAAAGUUGUUGCAGUUAAAAAGCUCGUAGUUGAAUUUCGGGAUUGACACAUCGGUCGUGCCUUAAGGGGUAUGAACUGGUGUAGUCAGUUUCUCACCUUCUGGAGAACCGCGAUGUCCUUAAUUGGGUGCCGCGGGGAACCAGGACCUUUACUUUGAAAAAAUUAGAGUGUUUAAAGCAGGCAUUUUGCUUGAAUCCAUUAGCAUGGAAUAAUAAAAUAGGCCGGAUGGUUCUAUUUUGUUGGUUUCUAGGAUCACCGUAAUGAUUAAUAGGGAUAGUUGGGGGCAUUAGUAUUCAAUUGUCAGAGGUGAAAUUCUUGGAUUUAUUGAAGACUAACUACUGCGAAAGCAUUUGCCAAGGAUGUUUUCAUUAAUCAAGAACGAAAGUUAGGGGAUCGAAGACGAUCAGAUACCGUCGUAGUCUUAACCAUAAACUAUGCCGACUAGGAAUCAGACGAUGUUAAUUUUUUAAUGACUCGUUUGGCACCUUACG
This 505-nucleotide ribosomal RNA is filed under the name uncultured Glomeromycotina. Its description in RNAcentral is "partial small subunit ribosomal RNA". It matches the Rfam family "Eukaryotic small subunit ribosomal RNA", at positions 591 to 1092 of the family's 1831-position model. The record is from RNAcentral. Lineage: Eukaryota; Fungi; Glomeromycota.